CUAAAAAUAAUAAAAAAAAAUAGAAAUUUUUUUUAAGAAUGUGGAGAUUUGAGGAAGUGGUGCUGUAGGGGAAAGUAGGUCACCAGAAGAGGACCAUCCUGGGGUAUGUUACCACUCUAGGGUAUGAUGAACAGCUGUUCUACCUCCACCAUUGACUGAACUCUCUGAAGCCCUGAGCUAAAACAAACCUUCAGUGUGAGGGGGUGGGGAGGAAGAAGAGGUUGUAUUUCAGUUUGCAUGUCAUUUUCAGUUACUUUUUUGUUGCCAUGAUGAAAUAGCAUUAUCACAAUCAACUUACAGAGUUUAUUUUAGCUUUUGGUUCCAGAGGAAUAAGAAUCCAUCAUGAAAGAAGGUGUGAUAGCAAGUAGCAGGAGCAGGCUUCCUUCCAGGACCAGGAAGAUGAGAGUGAUCACAUCCACAAAAAGGAAGCAGAAAAGCCUCCCAAGCCAGACUGCAAGCUUCAUGCUUUAAGGCUCUGUCAUCUCUUACCUGAACCCCUGCACCUGCCUUCUCUCAAGUCUCUCAGUUCCCAUCUCCCCCACCACAGCCUGAGCUCCUUAUAGCAGCUAGAGGGAUUCUGUGAAAGCAGGAAAGCAUCAAGUCAUCAUGACUUCCCAUAAUCCUUUGAAGAAAAACUAAUAUGGAAAUGACUCAGCAAUCUCAAUUGCAGGAACAUGCCCAGAAGUGAGAGCGUGGGCAGACAUGUGCACACUCAUGCUACAUCAGAGUAUUUCUCCAGAGCCAAAAAGGGAAGCCAGCAGUGACUAUAGAUGGUAAAUGGACAAUAAAAUGUAGCAUCUAUGUGCAAUGGAACCUUUUCCACCACAGAAAGGAAGGGAAUGCUGACCAUGCUAUGCUAUGACAUGAACUUGAAGACAUCAUGACAAUCAAAAUCAGUCACACUGAAUAAAAUAAGCCAGACCUGGAAGGAUACAUGCAAGUAGAAGUGUUCCUUUUGUGUCUGCGAACCUGAACACCUGUACCUCAUAAGGGGCCUUGUCAUCUCACUCGCUAGAGGAAGCUGAAGAUUAACAGCUAUACCACUUUUCCUAUAGAGAUGACAUCCUCUGAACAAGGCAAGUUUAAAGGCCACCAGAAUCACAUAUGUAAAUGUUGUUGAGACACCUCAGUGGGACUUCUCUUAAGGAACUUGAGAAUGUACUAUUGUCUCUCUUUUGUAUGUGUAUGGUGGGGGUAGGUUAUGUGUGUGGUGCAGACGCGUAAGCACAUAUACACACAUGCAGAGGCCAGAGGACAAGCAUCUU
Peromyscus leucopus (white-footed mouse) is the source of this 1265-nucleotide long non-coding RNA. RefSeq lists it as uncharacterized. The record is from RefSeq and is a predicted model, not a curated record. The transcript is spliced from 3 exons. NCBI's taxonomy places the organism in Eukaryota, Metazoa, Chordata, Mammalia, Rodentia, Cricetidae.